This 261-nucleotide ribosomal RNA is filed under the name uncultured bacterium. RNAcentral's name for it is "partial 16S ribosomal RNA". It matches the Rfam family "Bacterial small subunit ribosomal RNA", at positions 57 to 305 of the family's 1533-position model. The record is from RNAcentral.
GCAAGUCGUACGUGAAAGUCUUCGGACGAGUAAAGUGGCGAAAGGGUGAGUAACACGUAAUCAACUUACCCUCGAGACGGGGAUAACUGCUGGAAACGGCAGCUAAUACCCGAUGUCGAUAACUGGUCAUAAGGCCGGUGAUCGAAACGGUGGGGAUCCUACGGGACCUACUGCUUGAGGAGAGGGUUGCGGCCUAUCAGCUUGUUGGUGAGGUAAUGGCUCACCAAGGCUAAGACGGGUAGCCGGUCUGAGAGGAUGAUC